UUUGACGUUAGCGGCGGACGGGUGAGUAACACGUGGGUAACCUACCUAUAAGACUGGAAUAACUCCGGGAAACCGGGGCUAAUGCCGGAUAACAUGUUGAACCGCAUGGUUCUACAGUGAAAGACGGUCUUGCUGUUAUAGAUGGACCCGCGCCGUAUUAGCUAGUUGGUGGGGUAACGGCCUACCAAGGCGACGAUACGUAGCCGACCUGAGAGGGUGAUCGGCCACACUGGAACUGAGACACGGUCCAGACUCCUACGGGAGGCAGCAGUAAUCUUCCGCAAUGGGCGAAAGCCUGACGGAGCAACGCCGCGUGAGGUGAUGAAGGUCCUUCGGAUCGUAAAGCUCUGUUGUUAGGGAAGAACAAAUGUUGUAAGUAACUGUGCACAUCUUGACGGUACCUAACCAAGCCACGGCUAACUACGUGCCAGCAGCCGCGGUAAUACGUAGGUGGCAAGCGUUAUCCCGGAAUUAUUGGGCGUAAAGCGCGCGUAGGCGGUUUUUUAAGUCUGAUGUGAAAGCCCACGGCUCAACCGUGGAGGGUCAGGGAAACUGGAAAACUUGAGUGCAGAAGAGGAAAGUGGAAUUCCAUGUGUAGCGGUGAAAUGCGCAGAGAUAUGGGAGGAACACCAGUGGCGAAGGCGGCUUUCUGGUCUGCAACUGACGCUGAUGUGCGAAAGCGUGGAUCAAACAGGAUUAGAUACCCUGGUAGUCCACGCCGUAAACGAUGAGUGCUAAGUGUUAGGGGGUUUCCGCCCCUUAGUGCUGCAGCUAACGCAUUAAGCACUCCGCCUGGGGAGUACGGUCGCAAGACUGAAACUCAGGAAUUGACGGGGACCCGCACAAGCGGUGGAGCAUGUGGUUUAAUUCGAAGCAACGCGAAGAACCUUACCAAAUCUUGACAUCCUUUGACCGCUCUAGAGAUAGAGUUUUCCUCUUCGGAGGACAAAGUGACAGGUGGCAUGGUUGUCGUCAGCUCGUGUCGUGAGAUGUUGGGUUAAGUCCCGCAACGAGCGCAACCCUUGAACUUAGUUGCCAUCAUUCAGUUGGGCACUCUAAGUUGACUGCCGGUGACAAACCGGAGGAAGGUGGGGAUGAUCAAAUCAUCAUGCCCCUUAUGAUUUGGGCUACACACGUGCUACAAUGGACAAUACAAAGGGCAGCGAA
Molecule: ribosomal RNA, 1167 nt
Filed under: Staphylococcus pseudintermedius
Lineage: Bacteria; Bacillati; Bacillota; Bacilli; Caryophanales; Staphylococcaceae
Description: bacterial SSU rRNA
Rfam family: Bacterial small subunit ribosomal RNA
Source: RNAcentral